Molecule: ribosomal RNA, 468 nt
Filed under: uncultured bacterium
Lineage: Bacteria
Description: partial 16S ribosomal RNA
Rfam family: Bacterial small subunit ribosomal RNA
Source: RNAcentral
GACGAACGCUGGCGGCGUGCUUAACGCAUACAAGUCGAACGGAAAGGCCCUGCUUUUGUGGGGUGCUCGAGUGGCGAACGGGUGAGUAACACGUGAGUAACCUGCCCUUGACUUUGGGAUAACUUCAGGAAACUGGGGCUAAUACCGGAUAGGAGCUCCUGCUGCAUGGUGGGGGUUGGAAAGUUUCGGCGGUUGGGGAUGGACUCGCGGCUUAUCAGCUUGUUGGUGGGGUAGUGGCUUACCAAGGCUUUGACGGGUAGCCGGCCUGAGAGGGUGACCGGCCAAAUUGGGACUGAGAUACGGCCCAGACUCCUACGGGAGGCAGCAGUGGGGAAUAUUGCACAAUGGGCGGAAGCCUGAUGCAGCAACGCCGCGUGCGGGAUGACGGCCUUCGGGUUGUAAACCGCUUUCGCCUGUGACGAAGCGUGAGUGACGGUAAUGGGUAAAGAAGCACCGGCUAACUACGUG